This 239-nucleotide ribosomal RNA is filed under the name uncultured Lactobacillus sp. RNAcentral describes it as "partial 16S ribosomal RNA". It matches the Rfam family "Bacterial small subunit ribosomal RNA", at positions 123 to 355 of the family's 1533-position model. Lineage: Bacteria; Bacillati; Bacillota; Bacilli; Lactobacillales; Lactobacillaceae. The record is from RNAcentral.
AACCUGCCCAAGAGAUCGGGAUAACACCUGGAAACAGAUGCUAANACCGGAUAACAACAGAUGAUGCCUAUCAACUGUUUAAAAGAUGGUUCUGCUAUCACUCUUGGAUGGACCUGCGGUGCAUUAGCUAGUUGGUAGGGUAACGGCCUACCAAGGCGAUGAUGCAUAGCCGAGUUGAGAGACUGAUCGGCCACAUUGGGACUGAGACACGGCCCAAACUCCUACGGGAGGCAGCAGCC